Non-coding RNA from Pelobates cultripes (western spadefoot toad), 272 nucleotides. Lineage: Eukaryota; Metazoa; Chordata; Amphibia; Anura; Pelobatidae. The record is from the annotation of a GenBank genome assembly.
CCAAAUCCUACUUACCAAAGGGCACCUAUAGAUGUGGUCAUUGCAGUGCCUGUCAGUAUAUAGGUAAAGAAACGAAGAUGUUUUCUGACAGCUCGAAUUCUGACUCCCACUAUGUACGUUCUUUUUUCAAUUGCCGUACCGAGGGUGUCAUUUACCUUUUGACAUGUUCCUGCGGUAUUAAGUAUGUCGGAAAGACAUUCCGUCCUUUUAAGUUCCGCAUUAGAGAACAUGUCAAUUCGGUUAGAAGUAAAUUGGAAACUCCAAUCUCAAGG